UGAGGAAUAUUGGGUCAAUGGGGCGUGAGCCUGAACCAGCCAAGUAGCGUGCAGGAUGACGGCCCUAUGGGUUGUAAACUGCUUUUAUGCGGGGAUAAAAUCGGCCACGUGUGGCUGUUUGCAGGUACCGCAUGAAUAAGGACCGGCUAAUUCCGUGCCAGCAGCCGCGGUAAUACGGAAGGUUCGGGCGUUAUCCGGAUUUAUUGGGUUUAAAGGGAGCGUAGGCUGGAGAUUAAGCGUGUUGUGAAAUGCCGCGGCUCAACCGUGGCCCUGCAGCGCGAACUGGUUUUCUUGAGUGCGCUGAAAGCGGGCGGAAUUUGUGGUGUAGCGGUGAAAUGCUUA
This 342-nucleotide ribosomal RNA is filed under the name uncultured Prevotella sp. Its description in RNAcentral is "bacterial SSU rRNA". It matches the Rfam family "Bacterial small subunit ribosomal RNA", at positions 355 to 692 of the family's 1533-position model. Lineage: Bacteria; Pseudomonadati; Bacteroidota; Bacteroidia; Bacteroidales; Prevotellaceae. The record is from RNAcentral.